Molecule: long non-coding RNA, 844 nt
Organism: Cimex lectularius (bed bug)
Lineage: Eukaryota; Metazoa; Arthropoda; Insecta; Hemiptera; Cimicidae
Exons: 4
Source: RefSeq, a predicted model, not a curated record
CUUGUUUAAAACUUAUAAUUACCGAGUUAAACGCAAAACAAAACAAAAUUUUCAUUUAAUGAUUUUCCCGAAAUACACUUCUCGGAAGCGUUGAAGCCGAACUCUUAAUUUAUUUGUGGAUUGUUUUUUAAAUGCAGGAUGAUGAGGUAAAUAAUUUCAACUGCUGACGAAUGAGGGUGCCUCUCCAUUUGGCCUGUGAGAUGUAUUCAUGGAUAAAUUUCUUAGAUUAAAAAAAAAAAAAGAUUCUAGGAUUUAAAGAGAAACGUAUUUCUAGGAAAACUGGUUUUGAGUUCAGGUUAAGAGGGAGUUCAGCUAUGAAAGAACUAGACGGUUGUACUAUUUGAAUUUAUAUGUGCAUCUAAUGACGGCACCUACUCCUGGUUUGUUUUUUGCUCUAUCGGUGUAACUGUAUUAGGAAAUUUGUGCUGGAAUUUUAGAAACUGUUGGUGAUACGAUAUGGGUGAAGUAGUAUCUUUCGGAAAUGUUCAUAAGGAUAAGGAAAUUAAAACAAUCUCUUUGGAGAAAGAAGGAAUUUGGUGGCAAAAUAUCGGAAGAAUUGGUCGUUUUGUUGAGAAAGAGUUUUUCGCACAAAAAAGAAAUUGAAGUACUUUACACAGGCAUCAGUAAGGCAUUUGAUUGUCACUUUUAAUUUGCUUUUAUCGAAAUAAAAUAAUCGUCCGCGGUUCGCCAUCUUCAAAGUUGUGGUCUGCGAGUGGGAGGCACUCCUGGACAGCACCAAAGUGGUUGGUUGUAGAUGGUGGUCCCCGUCUCGAACAGCCUUGGUUGUCCUUCGUUGGCCUGUGGUUUGGACACUGGAUAGCUGCAAGUGGAUCCGGAACUUUCU